RNAcentral lists this ribosomal RNA (752 nucleotides) under Arthrobacter sp. PDA-43-6. RNAcentral's name for it is "bacterial SSU rRNA". It matches the Rfam family "Bacterial small subunit ribosomal RNA", at positions 60 to 824 of the family's 1533-position model. The record is from RNAcentral. Lineage: Bacteria; Bacillati; Actinomycetota; Actinomycetes; Micrococcales; Micrococcaceae.
AGUCGAACGAUGAUCUCCAGCUUGCUGGGGGGAUUAGUGGCGAACGGGUGAGUAACACGUGAGUAACCUGCCCUUGACUCUGGGAUAAGCCUGGGAAACUGGGUCUAAUACCGGAUAUGACCAUCUGGCGCAUGUCAUGGUGGUGGAAAGCUUUUGUGGUUUUGGAUGGACUCGCGGCCUAUCAGCUUGUUGGUGGGGUAAUGGCCUACCAAGGCGACGACGGGUAGCCGGCCUGAGAGGGUGACCGGCCACACUGGGACUGAGACACGGCCCAGACUCCUACGGGAGGCAGCAGUGGGGAAUAUUGCACAAUGGGCGAAAGCCUGAUGCAGCGACGCCGCGUGAGGGAUGACGGCCUUCGGGUUGUAAACCUCUUUCAGUAGGGAAGAAGCGAAAGUGACGGUACCUGCAGAAGAAGCGCCGGCUAACUACGUGCCAGCAGCCGCGGUAAUACGUAGGGCGCAAGCGUUAUCCGGAAUUAUUGGGCGUAAAGAGCUCGUAGGCGGUUUGUCGCGUCUGCUGUGAAAGACCGGGGCUCAACUCCGGUUCUGCAGUGGGUACGGGCAGACUAGAGUGCAGUAGGGGAGACUGGAAUUCCUGGUGUAGCGGUGAAAUGCGCAGAUAUCAGGAGGAACACCGAUGGCGAAGGCAGGUCUCUGGGCUGUAACUGACGCUGAGGAGCGAAAGCAUGGGGAGCGAACAGGAUUAGAUACCCUGGUAGUCCAUGCCGUAAACGUUGGGCACUAGGUGUG